Molecule: ribosomal RNA, 407 nt
Filed under: uncultured bacterium
Lineage: Bacteria
Description: partial 16S ribosomal RNA
Rfam family: Bacterial small subunit ribosomal RNA
Source: RNAcentral
GUUGAACGCUGGCGGCAGGCCUAACACAUGCAAGUCGAGCGAAGCGGCGGAGGGGAGAGGAAUGGCUAGGACUCGGCCUGGUACUGGUGGAUAACGUCCGGAAACGGGCGCUGAUACCGAAUACUCUCCGAUGAGCCUGGGUCGGAUUAGCUAGUUGGUGGGGUAAAGGCCUACCAAGGCUACGAUCCGUACCUGGCCUGAGAGGAUGAGCAGUCACACUGGAACUGAGACACGGUCCAGACUCUUACGGGAGGCAGCAGUGGGGAAUAUUGGACAAUGGGCGAAAGCCUGCUCCAGCCAUGCCGCGUGUGUGAAGAAGGUCUUCGGAUUGUAAAGCACUUUAAGUUGGGAGGCGUUACCAACAGAAUAAGCACCGGCUAACUUCGUGCCAGCAGCCGCGGUAAUAC